AGCAGCCGCGGUAAUUCCAGCUCCAAUAGCGUAUAUUAAAGUUGUUGCAGUUAAAAAGCUCGUAGUUGAAUUUCGGGGUUCUACCGUUGGUCGGGCAAUUGUCUGUACUGGCGUGUGGAAUUUCUACCUUCUGGGGAACCAUCAUGUUAUUAAUUUAGCGUGGUGGGAAACCAGGACCUUUACCUUGAAAAAAUUAGAGUGUUCAAAGCAGGCUUACGUCUGAAUACAUUAGCAUGGAAUAAUAAAAUAGGACGGUGGUCCUGUUUUGUUGGUUUCUGAAUCACCGUAAUGAUUAAUAGGGAUAGUUGGGGGCAUUAGUAUUCAAUUGUCAGAGGUGAAAUUCUUGGAUUUAUUGAAGACUAACUUCUGCGAAAGCAUUUGCCAAGGAUGUUUUCAUUAAUCAAGAACGAAAGUUAGGGGAUCGAAGACGAUCAGAUACCGUCGUAGUCUUAACCAUAAACUAUGCCGACUAGGGGAUCGGACGAUGUUAAUU
This 493-nucleotide ribosomal RNA is filed under the name uncultured Gigaspora. Its description in RNAcentral is "SSU rRNA". It matches the Rfam family "Eukaryotic small subunit ribosomal RNA", at positions 569 to 1069 of the family's 1831-position model. Lineage: Eukaryota; Fungi; Glomeromycota; Glomeromycetes; Diversisporales; Gigasporaceae. The record is from RNAcentral.